ACAGGGAUUGCCCCAGUAACGGCGAGUGAAGCGGCAACAGCCCAAAUUUGAAAUCCGGCUCCCCGCGGGCCCGAGUUGUAAUUUGCAGAGGAUGCUUUUGGCAAGGUGCCCUCCGAGUCCCCUGGAACGGGGCGCCGCAGAGGGUGAGAGCCCCGUACGGUCCGGCACCGCGCCUGCCUGUAAAGCUCCCUCGACGAGUCGAGUAGUUUGGGAAUGCUGCUCAAAACGGGAGGUAAACUCCUUCUAAGGCUAAAUACCGGCCAGAGACCGAUAGCGCACAAGUAGAGUGAUCGAAAGAUGAAAAGCACUUUGGAAAGAGAGUUAAACAGCACGUGAAAUUGUUGAAAGGGAAGCGCUUGCGGCCAGACUUGCGGCGGGCGGCUCAGCAGCGCCUCGUGCGCUGUGCACUCUGCCCGCCACAGGCCAGCAUCGGUUCCCGUCGGGGGACAAGUGCGGGGGGAACGUGGCUCUUCGGAGCGUUAUAGCCCCCCGCUACGCCCCGCCGGGGACCGAGGCUCGCGCCCUGUGCAAGGAUGCUGGCGUAAUGGCCGCCAGCGACCCGUCUUGAAACACGGACCAAGGAGUCAUCCUAGCAUGCGAGUGUCUGGGUGCCAAACCCUCACGCGAAAUGAAAGUGAACGGAGGUGAGAGCUUCGGCGCAUCAUCGACCGAUCCUGAUGUCUUCGGAUGGAUUUGAGUAGGAGCAUGCUGGGCUGGACCCGAAAGAAGGUGAACUAUGCUUGGAUAGGGUAAAGCCAGAGGAAACUCUGGUGGAGGCUCGCAGCGGUUCUGACGUGCAAAUCGAUCGUCAAAUCUGAGCAUGGGGGCGAAAGACUAAUCGAACCUUUUAGUAGCUGGUUUCCGCCGAAGUUUCCCUCAGGAUAGCAGUGCUGGUCUCAGUUUUAUGAGGUAAAGCGAAUGAUUAGGGACUCGGGGGCGCUUAUUAGCCUUCAUCCAUUCUCAAACUUUAAAUAUGUAAGAAGCCCUCGUUGCUUCGGUGAACGGGG
Molecule: ribosomal RNA, 1007 nt
Filed under: Haiyanga salina
Lineage: Eukaryota; Fungi; Ascomycota; Sordariomycetes; Microascales; Halosphaeriaceae
Description: eukaryotic LSU rRNA
Rfam family: Eukaryotic large subunit ribosomal RNA
Source: RNAcentral